AGCUGAGUUUGAUCCUGGCUCAGAUUGAACGCUGGCGGCAUGCCUUACACAUGCAAGUCGAACGGUAACGGGUUAAGCCGACGAGUGGCGAACGGGUGAGUAAUAUAUCGGAACGUGCCCAGUCGUGGGGGAGUAACGUAGAGAAAUUUACGCUAAUACCGCAUACGAUCUAAGGAUGAAAGCGGGGAUCGCAAGACCUCGCGCGAUUGGAGCGGCUGAUAUCAGAUUAGGUUGUUGGUGAGGUAAAGCUCACCAAGCCGACGAUCUGUAGCUGGUUUGAGAGAACGACCAGCCACACUGGGACUGAGACACGGCCCAGACU
Molecule: ribosomal RNA, 322 nt
Filed under: uncultured Polaromonas sp.
Lineage: Bacteria; Pseudomonadati; Pseudomonadota; Betaproteobacteria; Burkholderiales; Comamonadaceae
Description: bacterial SSU rRNA
Rfam family: Bacterial small subunit ribosomal RNA
Source: RNAcentral